Podarcis lilfordi (Lilford's wall lizard) is the source of this 77-nucleotide non-coding RNA. The record is from the annotation of a GenBank genome assembly. NCBI's taxonomy places the organism in Eukaryota, Metazoa, Chordata, Lepidosauria, Squamata, Lacertidae.
GGGAAAGAGUUGUAGCACAGUGCUAGAGCAUCUGCUUUGCAUGCAAAAUGUCCCAGCUUCAAUUCCUGACAUCCCCA